UAGAAAACUUAGAGCUCAUUAAUAUGCGCUUAAUUCAAACAACUUUAAAUGGACUUAUGUUGAACAAAUGAAUAAAUUCAUGUAUUUUUAUGGAUAAUAUAUUUUCUAUUAGAUUAUCAAUGAUGAAUAUCACAGAUAUAGUUCUCUAUAUCCAGUAUAAUCAACAUAUUAUGAUUGUGAAAACCAACACUUGAAAAUUGAAAACAAAAACAAUGAAAUAUUGAAAAAAAUAUUUGCGUGUUCACGAUAAUCCGAAUAAUUGCAUUUUUAUGGUUACACUUCUAGAUAACGUGUUUAUUUUCAUUCAUUGUUUAUCUGUUAUUGCUGUAUGUCUUUUUUGUAUACUUCGUUAAUGUUUUGUUCCAUUUUUUGCACCAUUUCUUGGGCGCAGGAAUGUGAACACCGCUUGAUUGAUUCAAGCUGACGUAUUGUGGUCAUAUUUUUUGGAUGGACUUGAAUUAGUCUAAUAUAGGUGCUCCAAUUGUGCUUAUUUGCUGCUGGUUUAAGAUAUUUAUUCUUACGCAUAACAGCCUGAAACUAGAAAUGAAGUUCUGGGAAAUUAACCUUUUGCUGCUUUAUUUUUUUGGAUACUAUAAUGCCGUCACGUCAUUUCAAGUGGGCGUCGGCCGUGCUGAUUGUACUGGACCUCCUGUUGAAAUAGUCUUUGUAGGUUCUGUGACUUGGAACUAUAUUUGAUAUCGAGUUUGUUCUAAUUUUCGAUGACUUUUAAAUAAAAUAACUUGAUAAAGUAGUGGACAAUCACAAUUGCCCAUUCCAAGUGCUCAGACUUUAACUUUAA
Molecule: long non-coding RNA, 799 nt
Organism: Sitodiplosis mosellana (orange wheat blossom midge)
Lineage: Eukaryota; Metazoa; Arthropoda; Insecta; Diptera; Cecidomyiidae
Exons: 2
Source: RefSeq, a predicted model, not a curated record